GAUGAACGCUGGCGGCGUGCCUAAUACAUGCAAGUCGAGCGAACGGACGAGAAGCUUGCUUCUCUGAUGUUAGCGGCGGACGGGUGAGUAACACGUGGAUAACCUACCUAUAAGACUGGGAUAACUUCGGGAAACCGGAGCUAAUACCGGAUAAUAUUUUGAACCGCAUGGUUCAAAAGUGAAAGAAGGUCUUUCUGUCACUUAUAGAUGGAUCCGCGCUGCAUUAGCUAGUUGGUAAGGUAACGGCUUACCAAGGAAACGAUGCAUAACCGACCUGAGAGGGUGAACGGGCACAUGGGAACUGAGACUCAGCCCAGACUCCUACGGGAGGAAGCAGUAGAGAAUCUUCCGCGAUGGGGGAAAGCGUGACGGAGCAACGCGGCGUGAGGGAUGAAGGUCUUCGGAUCGUAAAACUCUGUUAUUAGGGAAGAACAUAUGUGUAAGUAACUGUGCACAUCUUGACGGUACCUAAUCAGAAAGCCACGGCUAACUACGUG
This 497-nucleotide ribosomal RNA is filed under the name uncultured bacterium. RNAcentral's name for it is "partial 16S ribosomal RNA". It matches the Rfam family "Bacterial small subunit ribosomal RNA", at positions 28 to 507 of the family's 1533-position model. The record is from RNAcentral.